GGAGUCAUAGCUCAGUGGUAGAGGUCAGUUAUCCCAUCUACCUAAGUCUCUUCGGACACUCAAACUAACAAUUUACAGCGAAGGAUUGCAGUUGCAUACUAGAAAUCAAUCCUUAGGUCGCCGGUUCGAUCCCGGCUGGCUCCU
Annulohypoxylon bovei var. microspora is the source of this 144-nucleotide non-coding RNA. The record is from the annotation of a GenBank genome assembly. NCBI's taxonomy places the organism in Eukaryota, Fungi, Ascomycota, Sordariomycetes, Xylariales, Hypoxylaceae.